This is a long non-coding RNA of Hemibagrus wyckioides, 206 nucleotides long. RefSeq lists it as uncharacterized. The record is from RefSeq and is a predicted model, not a curated record. The transcript has 3 exons. NCBI's taxonomy places the organism in Eukaryota, Metazoa, Chordata, Actinopteri, Siluriformes, Bagridae.
GAAUUCUAUGAAACGUUGUUCAACUUCUUUACCACCAGAGGAUGGUCCAACAUCACCGAAAAAGAGAAAUCUCUGCACUGAAAGUUUACACCGCGGGAUAAAAACUGCUCCAUCAACAAACCCAGAAAGGACAAAAGGCCAGAAGAAUAAUGUUGCAUGGAAUUUCAUCAAUGAAAAUAAUUAUAGAGUCUGUAUUGAGAAGUCUG